GAGACUCUGUGCGCGUGCAUAUCAAUAAGCGGAGGAAAAGAAACUAACAAGGAUUCCCCUAGUAACGGCGAGUGAAGCGGGAAGAGCAUCAAAUUUGAAAUCUUAAAGGGUUUCCCUUUACGAAUUGUAGUUUAAAGAAGUGUUUUCUGUUGGAGUUUCGGUAAAAGUUCUUUGGAAUAGGACAUCAUAGAGGGUGAGAAUCCCGUAUUUGACUCGUUACUUUCCAGCUGUGUGAUACACUUUCAAAGAGUCGGAUUGUUUGGGAAUGCAGUCCAAAGAUGGGUGGUAAAUUUCAUCUAAAGCUAAAUAUUGGCGAGAGACCGAUAGCGAACAAGUACCGUGAGGGAAAGAUGAAAAGAACUUUGAAAAGAGAGUUAAACAGUACGUGAAAUUGUCAAAAGGGAAGCGUUUGACACCAGUGUUGUUUAGUUGAAAAUCAAUUCAAUAAUUUUUGAUUCUAAGUAGUAUUGACUUCAUCAGCUUGCUGCUUUCUUCUCAGGAAAUUAUUGAAUGCACUUUUCAGUUAACAAGUCAACAUCAAUUUCUUUUGUUGUAAAAGGGUAAGAGGAAGGUGGCUUAGCGCUUCGGCGUCAAGUGUUUAUAGCCUUUUAUCCUCUGCAAUCGGAGAGAUUGAGGUACAUGCAGCGUAGAUCUCUUCGGGGUUAGAUACACUUGGUGCUAAGCUAUAGCCUUGUAUAGACAACUUGUUGACUAUGCUCAGUCAUGUAGCUUACUCGCUGAUGCUAUUUUACCUACGCUUAGGAUGUUGACAGCAGUAUAGACUGU
RNAcentral lists this ribosomal RNA (786 nucleotides) under uncultured Neocallimastigales. Its description in RNAcentral is "partial large subunit ribosomal RNA". It matches the Rfam family "Eukaryotic large subunit ribosomal RNA", at positions 23 to 638 of the family's 3401-position model. Lineage: Eukaryota; Fungi; Neocallimastigomycota; Neocallimastigomycetes; Neocallimastigales. The record is from RNAcentral.